Transfer RNA from Camelus ferus (Wild Bactrian camel), 73 nucleotides. It matches the Rfam family "tRNA". Rfam says of the family: Transfer RNA (tRNA) molecules are approximately 80 nucleotides in length. Their secondary structure includes four short double-helical elements and three loops (D, anti-codon, and T loops). Further hydrogen bonds mediate the characteristic L-shaped molecular structure. tRNAs have two regions of fundamental functional importance: the anti-codon, which is responsible for specific mRNA codon recognition, and the 3' end, to which the tRNAs corresponding amino acid is attached (by aminoacyl-tRNA synthetases). tRNAs cope with the degeneracy of the genetic code in two manners: having more than one tRNA (with a specific anti-codon) for a particular amino acid; and 'wobble' base-pairing, i.e. permitting non-standard base-pairing at the 3rd anti-codon position. The record is from Rfam. NCBI's taxonomy places the organism in Eukaryota, Metazoa, Chordata, Mammalia, Artiodactyla, Camelidae.
GAGGGUACAGCUCAAGUGGUAGAGUGCAUGCUUGGCAUGUACAAGGUCCUGGGUUCAAUCCCCAGUACCUCCU